Molecule: long non-coding RNA, 1076 nt
Organism: Microplitis mediator
Lineage: Eukaryota; Metazoa; Arthropoda; Insecta; Hymenoptera; Braconidae
Exons: 3
Source: RefSeq, a predicted model, not a curated record
UGUUAAUUUGACUGUUUUAGCGACUAAAGUAAAUGAAGAAGUUCGUAUAUUUAUUUAUUUACUUAAUGAAAUUUAAUUAAUUUGGAUUAAUUAUUGUCAUUUGUAUUGUAGAUCAAGAGUACCAGUAAUAUAUUAUAUAAAAUAAUAACUGUUGUACCGAGUGGAGAAUUGAGUAAUGAACUUGAACUAUUUUCUAUUGAACUUCUUCAACGGGACAUUAAUUUUACAGCCUGUGGAUUUUUUAAACUAGACAAUUAUUUGAUAACUUAUAUUAUUUGUAUGGGGCUUAUUUAUAUGAUGAUCUAAGUAUGAAGACAAUAUAUAUAUAUUGACAUUGACUAUUAAUUCGCAUGCAACAAUCUCAUUGAAAUCUUGCGCAAACCUGGUCACCAGUGUACUAGUUGUCUACGUCUUUUUAUGACUGAAUCUUGUUGCAGACACUAGUAAAAUAUUUUAAAUUUCAAGUCUUGCGCAGGACUUACAAAAAAACUGUGUUAUGUAUCUAAAGAAUUGUGCAAGCUAACACGUGGCUUGUUGAUAAAAUUACUUACGCAUUUCUUGAGCAAAACUUGCGCCAGAAAUUUCUUAAAGAUACUCACGCAUGGCUUGCGCCAGAUUUUUUUAAGAAGCGCUAAAUAUAUAUCGCAGGCCAAAGGAAGGGGUAAAGUGACAGAGAUAGUUAUGUAGCGUUUCUUGAGCAAAUCUGGCGCAAGUCAUGCGUGAGUUCAUCUUUAAGAAAUUUCUGGCGCAAGUUUUGCUCAAGAAAUGCGUAAGUGAUUUUACCAAUGAGCCAUGUGUAAGAUGUCUGCAAUAUUCUUUCGUACGAUAUCAUGUGCAAGUCAUACUAAAAUCUUUACUUUAAAUCUUGCAUUAAUAUCUUGUGACAGAUCUAUAGGUAUAUAAAGACGUAGACACGCAGAAAUUACCACAAGACACUUUCACAAAAUUAACGCAAGACUGCUACAAGAUUGUCUUUCAUGUCGUCUUGUGCAAAUCCAUAUAUUAGUAUCUAUCAAAAGAUUCUUGUGAUCAAUCUUGACCAAUAAAUGUGAUGGAAAUUAUUACAUGGGUUCAUA